This 464-nucleotide ribosomal RNA is filed under the name uncultured bacterium. RNAcentral's name for it is "partial 16S ribosomal RNA". It matches the Rfam family "Bacterial small subunit ribosomal RNA", at positions 338 to 794 of the family's 1533-position model. The record is from RNAcentral.
CCUACGGGAGGCAGCAGUGGGGAAUUUUGCGCAAUGGGGGCAACCCUGACGCAGCAACGCCGCGUGAGUGAUGAAGGCCUUCGGGUCGUAAAGCUCUGUCAGAGGGGAAGAAAUGCAGGUGGUGAACAACCAUUCUGUUUGACGGUACCCUCAAAGGAAGCACCGGCUAACUACGUGCCAGCAGCCGCGGUAAUACGUAGGGUGCGAGCGUUAAUCGGAAUUACUGGGCGUAAAGCGUGCGCAGGCGGCUUUGUAAGACGGAUGUAAAAUCCCUGGGCUUAACCUAGGAACUGCGUCCGUGACUGCAAAGCUAGAGUGCGGCAGAGGGGGGUGGAAUUCCUGGUGUAGCAGUAAAAUGCGUAGAUAUCGGGAGGAACACCAGUAGCGAAAGCGGCUCUCUGGGAAAUUCCUGACGCUGAGGGGCGAAAGCGUGGGGAGCAAACAGGAUUAGAUCCCCCUGUAGU